CCUACGGGUGGCAGCAGUGAGGAAUAUUGGUCAAUGGGCGAGAGCCUGAACCAGCCAAGUCGCGUGAGGGAGUACUGCCCUAUGGGUUGUAAACCUCUUUUGUCGGGGAGCAAAAGCCGGACGUGUCCGGCUGUGAGAGUACCCGAAGAAAAAGCAUCGGCUAACUCCGUGCCAGCAGCCGCGGUAAUACGGAGGAUGCGAGCGUUAUCCGGAUUUAUUGGGUUUAAAGGGUGCGCAGGCGGAUUUUUAAGUCAGCGGUAAAAUCGUGGGGCUCAACCCCAUCCAGCCGUUGAAACUGGGGAUCUAGAGUGUGCGAGAGGUAUGCGGAAUGCGUGGGGUAGCGGUGAAAUGCAUAGAUAUCACGCAGAACCCCGAUUGCGAAGGCAGCAUACCGGUGCACAACUGACGCUCAGGCACGAAAGCGUGGGUAUCGAACAGGAUUAGAUACCCCAGUAGUC
Molecule: ribosomal RNA, 458 nt
Filed under: uncultured bacterium
Lineage: Bacteria
Description: partial 16S ribosomal RNA
Rfam family: Bacterial small subunit ribosomal RNA
Source: RNAcentral